This 328-nucleotide ribosomal RNA is filed under the name uncultured bacterium. RNAcentral describes it as "partial 16S ribosomal RNA". It matches the Rfam family "Bacterial small subunit ribosomal RNA", at positions 1 to 343 of the family's 1533-position model. The record is from RNAcentral.
UGGCGGCCGCGGGAAUUCGAUUGAGUUUGAUCCUGGCUCAGAAUGAACGAUGGCGGCAUGCCUAACACAUGCAAGUCGAACGAGACCUUCGGGUCUAGUGGCGCACGGGUGCGUAACGCGUGGGAAUCUGCCCUUGGGUUCGGAAUAACUCAGAGAAAUUUGAGCUAAUACCGGAUGAUGUCGUAAGUCCAAAGAUUUAUCGCCCAAGGAUGAGCCCGCGUAGGAUUAGCUAGUUGGUGGGGUAAAGGCUCACCAAGGCAACGAUCCUUAGCUGGUCUGAGAGGAUGAUCAGCCACACUGGGACUGAGACACGGCCCAGACUCCUACG